RNAcentral lists this ribosomal RNA (497 nucleotides) under uncultured bacterium. Its description in RNAcentral is "partial 16S ribosomal RNA". It matches the Rfam family "Bacterial small subunit ribosomal RNA", at positions 28 to 507 of the family's 1533-position model. The record is from RNAcentral.
GAUGAACGCUGGCGGCGUGCCUAAUACAUGCAAGUCGAGCGAACAGACGAGGAGCUUGCUCCUUUGACGUUAGCGGCGGACGGGUGAGUAACACGUAGGUAACCUACCUAUAAGACUGGGAUAACUUCGGGAAACCGGAGCUAAUACCGGAUAAUAUUUCGAACCGCAUGGUUCGAUAGUGAAAGAUGGCUUUGCUAUCACUUAUAGAUGGACCUGCGCCGUAUUAGCUAGUUGGUAAGGUAACGGCUUACCAAGGCAACGAUACGUAGCCGACCUGAGAGGGUGAUCGGGCACACUGGAACUGAGACACGGUCCAGACGCCUACGGGAGGCAGCAGUAGGGAAUGUUCCGCAAUGGGCGAAAGCCUGACGGAGCAACGCCGCGUGAGUGAUGAAGGUCUUCGGAGCGUAAAACUCUGUUAUUAGGGAAGAACAAACGUGUAAGUAACUGUGCACGUCUUGACGGUACCUAAUCAGAAAGCCACGGCUAACUACGUG